AAAAAUUUAGUAGAAAUAUUCAAUGAAGGCGCUUAAUGGAGACAGUAAUAUUAGCAAUGGAGGAAUUGAAUUGAUAACUAAAACUGCAAGACCAAUUGACUACGAUAGGUUCAAAACAGAAACUCAUCUGUUAGAUGUCUCAUCUUUAGGCAGUGCCUUGUUCUUUUCUUUUUUUUGUUCUUUUUUUUUUUUUGUUUUUGGUUGCACGUCUUGUGACGUUCAUGUAAAUGAACAAAAUUGAUACUUUUGACACAACCAACAAUGGAGAGGUAAAAAGUUAAAAACAGAAGGAAUGUCUUUUGUUAUGUAAUAGAUUUUGCAAGUCAGAAAUUCUGUUCGAGAAUUUGCAACCCAGAAAGUCCGCCAGCAAUUAUUAACAAUCACAGAUAAGCACCGAAUGAAGGCCAAUCUAAUAAGCCAAAAUAUGUAGGGCACUAAAGAAAUUAUUGCCCAGUAACAAAUGAUAGAUAAGCACAUGUGAAACUAAAGAAAUUUUUCCUUACUAUCAACUCCAAAAAAAUAACCUAUACAAUUCAAAAAAUGUUGAUACAUGCCUGAAAUUGGUAUUUGAACCACCAACUACCUCCGUGAAUAUGUUUGUUUGCUUAAUGGUUUGCGUUGAAGUUGUGAAAGGAAAUGCAAUUUCUUAAAAGAAGGAGAAUGCAGAGACAAAUACAGAAUGGUUCACGUGGCCACCCUCAAAACAAUAAUGUCGUAUACAUUAAGCCUGCCAAUUACUAAAAACAAAACAUUUUGCCAUGAGGAGAAGUAAGAACAUACCGAAACUUGUUUGCAAAUAGAUGAGAAAAAUUAUACCUCAAACAGAUGGGAAAUUUAUUAGGAAAGAUAGAUCAGCCCACAUGUGUGUAAUCUAUAUACAAAAAACCACUCUCUUCAUUAGCCAAAUCGUUUCAUAAAUCCAACAACACAUAAUUAUAUCUUGAACAAUGCCAAUUAAUGAUUUCCCAUUUACUUAAGCCGGACAACAAAGCCAAUGAACUGAUGAAAGAGCGAAAAAGAGAAACAAAAAACCUCAAUUAAGCAAUUAAAUGGAGUAUUACUUGAUAGAGCUGGAAAUUACCCAAUUCCUCAGAGAGAGGAUCAAGAGUGACUGAUGAGAGUGCAGAGAAACGAAUUAUUGAGAAAUUCAAGUUCUGAGCUCAAAGUUGGGGCCUCCACUUUCCAACUGGGGAAGAAAUAACAGAGAAAACACAGAGAGAGCCAAUCCACCAAAAAUAUUAAUCAAAUGGGUUUCUUCUAAUUCAAAAUUUGGACCACCCAAUUUCCGAUGAAGCAAUAACCAUUCAAAAUUCCAACAGAUUGAAGCCCUCACAGACUACAAAUUAUCAAUACCCAGCAAUAAAAAAUUUGAAAACAGUAAUAAUGAAGGAAAAAGAAAUUAAAGCUGCGAGCCAUUCUCUAAAUCUCAGGCACCAAUCCAAAUCACCAGUAAUUUGCACAUAAUGAUAAGAAUCUAGCGGUAUUUCCAUUGUUUAAAAACCCAAAUUCAAGAAAUCAUGAAAAAUGGAAACUUUAUUUGGAAAUUGAAGCUUUACCUGCAGAUCAGCAGCAGCAAACGGAAUCCAACGGCAUGUACCUCAAAAGUGAGAGAGAGAGAGAGAGUUGAGAGAUGAGUGAGAGAAUCGAUAAACAAAACCCCCCAAAAUCACAAAAGGAAAAUUGAACAGAAAACAAAUUUGCAAAUCCAAAAUCACAAAAACGAAAUUGAAACACCCACACUGAGAAAGCUGCAAUACUCACCAGGAAGCUAGCUUUUCUGGGUAAAAAAAUUGUUCGAAUCGAAUUGAAGAACCGAGGAAAAUUCUACUGGUUCAGUGGUUUUUCCAGCAAGAAAGCACCUUGUUUGUAAUUCGUGAGAGGUUGGACGGCGAGAGAGAAAAACGUAAAGGAAAGGAAAAGCGGAGAAGAAGUCACGAUUAUCGACGCGUGGGUUGCAUUCCACUGUGCCAAGUUCGAAAAUGAACGGGGAAUGGGGAGCUUGGCUGAGGGAGACAGAAUUCGAGAAGCAACGUUCUGAUUUUUUUUUUUAUAUGAGAGAGGGAAAGAGGAAUGAAGAGAAUCGACAAGAGGAGGAACCAUUUUAAGCGAUGAUGGACGCGUGGGAAUUGAGGGCAAAUUUGCCAUUUUGCUGUGAACCCAAAAGUCAAGACUUGGCUUGGUUUAUAUAAUUAAUCAAUAAUAUUUCAUAACAAGAGCUAGGUCCAUAUAUUAUACAAGGUUCUAAUAUAAUAGAUGUUGUGGCUAGGCGAGGCUUAUUGUCUAUGCGAAUUUAAGUAAAUUUACUCUAUAUUAAAUAAAUAAAUAUAUUUUUACACUUAAAAUGACACAUAAUUGUAUUGUGAUAUAUAAAUUAUAAAAUAAAAUGAUAUAUAUAUUAUAAAGUAUUGGAGACCCAAAUGUGAAAUGACAACUAUAAACAAUUAUUCAAGGUGGACGGUAAAUGAUUCAGCCAUUUACAAGAUUCAAAACGUAGGAUCACGAUCUACUGGAUGAUUGUAUUAACUAUUAGGCGGUGCUCUAAUAUAAUACAUCCAAAUGGGGGUGGACCACAUAAUACACCCAAUAGGUCGUUUUAAGCUACUCCACUGCUAAAACUAUUGCAAAAUGCGCAUUAGGAUUUAUACUUCUAUUAGCUACGCCUUUCCUUACUAGGCAAAUGAACCAUAUAGUACACCAAGAUGGAUGUUAUACACGUUGGAGUUUGAGCAGAAUUCUUUUUGUUAUCAUGUCUCACAUUGCUAGAAUUGAAAAGUUCAUAAUAUAAUAACAUUCACGUAUGAACUUGAGAAACAACAUACUACUGGUUGGCCUGGAAGGUGCAGUGAAGGAGAGGAAAGAAAGUAACAAACACGAAAGGAUAAGGACUAUCCAAUAGAUUAUAAACAAUGACUUCUUGGGGGUGAUUACAGCUAUUCAACCAUCAAUAAUGCAUUAUUUUAGUUUGGAAUUUGGAAGCAUUUGAGAAGUAACAUGACAACAACCACAUAAUAAACAAAGAUGAUUAGAAAAAAGACCCGAAUGUGAAAGAAUAAUUAAAAACAAUUAUUCAAGAUUAGUGAUAAAUGAUUCAACCAUUUACAAGAUAUGAACUUAGAACAACAAUCUAUUAGAUCGUUGUAUUAAUUAUUAAGUGGUGCUCUAAUAUAAUAGAUCCAAAUCGGAACGGACCACAUAAUACACCCAAAUGGAUCAUUUUUAGGCUCCACUGCUAAAAACUAAUGCACCAUGGGCAUUAGGAGUAGACUUUUAUAGCUAUCUUUCCUUACUAGUCAAAUGAACCAUACAAUACACCCAAAUGGAUGCCAUCAUGCCAUAUAUAAACAAUGUUUUGAAAGGACAAGGUAGCUAACGCUGUCUUUUUAUAUAUGUAAGCAACAACCCUAAAUGAAUCUUAUUGGAGCUAAUUAACUAAUGUAUUUAUUAGACAGUUGGAUUCCUUAGCAAGGGGUUAACUAUUUUUGUUUAGAUUAGUAGUCAGGUGGUAAUUAAUUAGUCAAAUGAACCAUAUAAUACACCCAAAUGGAUGUGCAUAUAUAAACAAUGUUUUCGAAGGAUGAAAUGACUUUCUUGCCGGUAUGGGGGAAGAGGAUUGCGCGAAAAUUUUCGCACUAAUCUAAAUAUUGUGUUUCAAGCUUUGAAAAACCAUUGAAGCUUUGAAAAGUUUGGUGAUUUUGUUAGGUUAUGUGUAUGAGUGACAUUAAUAAUUUUCAACUUCCCAAGCAAUUGUUACACAAAAUUAAAUUUAAAAUCCAAGAGGCCGUGGUUACAGCUAUUCAACUUUUGUAGAUUUUCCGGUUUUAUGAGAUUGGCAUUCUUUUUCAACACAACUUCUAUUGAGUUCAUAUAAACUAUUAUAUGAAGGAGAAAUGGUAAAAAGACUCCCUCAAAAUCCCAAAUGUGAUAGGAGAAAAGACACAAAUAUGAAACAAUUAAAAACAAUUAUUCAAGGUGGGUAGUAAAUGAUUCAGUCAUUUACAAGAUUCAAACAUGGGACCACGAUCUACUGGAUGACUGUAUUAACUAUUAGGCGGUGCUUUGAUAUAAUACAUCCAAAUGGGGGUGGACCACAUAAUACACCCCAAUGGUUCGCUAAAAACUAUUGCAAAAUGCGCGUUGGGCUUAUACUUCUAUUAGCUGCGCCUUUCCUUACUAGGCAAAUGAACCAUAUCCAAAAUGGAUGUUAUACACGUUAGAGUUUGACCAUAAUUUUUUUCGGUUAUCUCAUUGUCUCACAUUGCUAGAAUUGAAAAGUUUUAAUAACGUUUGUGUAUGAACUUGAGAGACGACAUACUAUCGGCCGGCGGGGAAGGUGCAGUGAAAGAGAGGAAAGGAAGAAAGAAGUCAACACGGAAUGACAAAGACUAACCAAUAGGUUAUAAGCAAUUACUUCUUGGGGUGAUUACAGCUAUUCAACUAUCAACAACGCAUUAUUUUAGUUUGGAAUUUGGAAGCAUUUGAGAAGUAACAUGGCAACAACCACAUACUAAACUAAAGUGAUUAGAAAAAAGACCCAAAAUGUGAAAGAAUAAUUAAAAACAAUUAUUUAAGAUAAGCGAUAAAUGAUUCAACUAUUUACAAGAUAUGAACUUAGAACAACAAUCUAUUUGAUCGUUGUAUUAACUAUUAAGUGGUGUUCUAAUAUAAUAGAUCCAAAUGGGGACCGACCAUAUAAUACACCCAAAUGGACCAUUUUUAGGCUCCACUGCUAAAAACUAAUGCAAAGUGGACAUUAGGAUUAAACUUGUAUUAGCUAUCUUUCCUUACUAGUCAAAUGAACCAUACAAUACACCCAAAUGGAUGGCAUCAUGCCAUAUAUAAACAAUGUUUUGAAGGGACAAGGUAGCUAACGCUGUCUUUUUAUAUAUGUAAGCAACAACCCUAAAUGAAUUUUACUGGAGCUAAUUAACUAAUGUAUUUAUUAGACAGUUGGAUUCCUUAGCAAGUGGUUAACUAGUUUUGUUUAGUUUAGUAGUCAGGUCGUAAUUAAUUAGUCAAAUGAACCUGCAUAUAACACACGCAAAUGGAUGCCAUAUAUGCAUACUAUUUUUGUUUAGUUUAGUAGUCAGGUCGUAAUUAAUUAGUCAAAUGAACCUGCAUAUAACACACCCAAAUGGAUGCCAUAUAUGCAUAUAUAAACAAUGUUUUCAAAGGAUGAAAUGACUUUCUUGCCGGUAUGGGGGGAAGAGGAAAGAAACUAGCACGAAACUGCAGACCCUAUCGAUCCAUUAUAAUAAAUUUCAAUGGUCCAAGUUGUAAGUUAAUUGUGUAACGUAAAAACUUAUUUACAGUUAUCAACUUAACCACGUACAUGUGGAAGACAUUAUCUCAGAAAACUAGAAAGUUCAAUUGCAACUCUACACAACUGAAAGCAAGGCUCGCUCAAUAGGGCUUGAGUUUUUUUGUAAACUUGCGUAUUUUUGUAAACGCAUCACAUAGUAGUUAAAACAUCCGGCCGUAAAUAAAGGGUUUGAGUGUCACAUCCUAGCUCGGGGCAGACCACUUCCCGGGCUCACUCCACUACCGUAGCAUGAUAUUGUCCGCUUUGGGCCCCGACCACGCCAUUACGGUUUUGUUUCUAGGAACUCACGAGCAACUUCCCAGUGGAUCACCCAUUAUGGGAGUGCUCUGGCCACCUUCUCGCUUAACUUCGGAGUUCCGAAGGAACCCGAAGCCAGUGAGCUCCCAAAAGGCCUCAUGCUAGAUAGGGAUGAGAAUAUACAUUUAAGGAUCACUCCCCUGGGCGAUGUGGGAUGUUACAAUCCACCCCCCUUAGGGGCCUGACGUCCUCGUCGGCACACUUCCGGCCAGGGAUUGGCUCUGAUACCAUUGUCACAUCCCGGCCCGGGGCAGAACACUUCCCGGGCCCGCUCCACCACCGUAGCACGAUAUUGUCCACUUUGGGCUUACCAUUCCCUCACGGUUUUGUUUUUGGGAACUCACGAGCAACUUCCCAGUGGGUCACCUAUCCUGGGAGUGCUCUGGCCCCCUUCUCGCUUAACUUCGGAGUUCCUACGGAACCCGAAGCCAGUGAACUCCCAAAAGGCCUCGUGAUAGGUAGGGAUGAGAAUAUACAUUUAAGUAUCACUCCUCUGAGCGAUGUGGGAUGUCACAAUCCAAUUGUAACAGUGUCAUGAUCAGACUUGUAAGACUGUCUUUAAUAAGAAGUUGUUGCGUUUUGUCAAAACUAGGUAUGGGCAACGGUUAUGGCGGGCGGGUAACCGCGGUUAAUUAUCCAUAACCGUUUAUUCUCAUACAUGCAUAACUGUUUACCCGUUGGGUAAUUGUCUAAACGGUUAUACCCAUACCCAUAACCGUUUAUAAACGGUUAACCAUAACCAUAACCGUGUACCCAUUUAACCGUAACCGUUUAGUACCCAUUUACCCAUUUAUCAUUUUUAAACCCGUUUAUCCUUUCUUUUUUACCAUUUACUCAUUUUUCACGCAUCUACGUGUUUUUUUAACAACUUGAAAAUUAAAAAAGAAAAAUUUGUCAUAAUUUUCUUUUUCUAACAAUUAAACACCGUUGUAGUAUUCAUCAUACAUUUCCGUAUUUUAAUUUUUAAGUCCUUAUACCAUUUCAAUAAUUGAAAUAAUAGUUUACAGACAAUAUUUUUAAUUGUUAGCAAUGAAGGUAAUAUAAAAUUUGCUAAGUAUUCUUUGGUUACGAAAACUGUUAAAAGACAGUAUUCUUGGGUUAUUUAACUCAGAAUGUAUAAUAUAUAUAAUGGACCAUGAAAUUUAAAGUGGUUAAGGAAAACUAUAUUAUAUUAGCUAUAGAAAUCAUGCACUAUAGUCAAUAGCAUUGAUCUAAGUUUUGUCCGAUAGUGAACAUGGUUUGUGUUAAUUUUACAUAUAUAAAAUAAAUGGGUAAAUGGUUACCCGUUUAUAACCACGGUUAAUACCCAUACCGCCCAUUUAAAUUUCACGAGUAAACGCCCAUAACUGUAACCGUGAAAUUUAAAUAGGCGGAUAACCGCAGUUACCCAUAACCAAUGAGUAUUUACCCAUCCCUAGUCAAAACCGGUCCAUCUAAUUACAAAUUGUAACCAUAUUAGUUGAGUGCAUAUGCUACAUCACAUUUAGUGAAUAUUCAGUACGGGUGACACAUGGUCAGACUUGUAGGUUGUUCAUUAAGAAGUUAGUUACCACGUUCUCAAGAGUGGAGCUAGAGGGGAGCACUUCCCUACCAAAGUGUUUUCCUUCUCCCCUUUGCAAGGGAUUUGUGUCACUAUUAGAUAGGAGAUUCAAACACAAGACCUUCAAUUGAGAGGUAAACGCUUUUACAAAGCUUCUACGAGCACCUUCUUGUUUACCAAACUUAUUGAGACUAAAGGAGGUCUUAACGCCAUUUUGGCUAAUACUAUUCUGUAUAUUUACGAAUGGUUUUAAGUUUGGGUUUAAUUGGAUAAUCAGAUAGUAGUGCAUCAAACUAUGGAUAUUCAGAAACCGAAAGCAUAAUUCAUAUUCCUCCAACAAGUCCACGCAAAUAACCACAAUCAGAAUGUUAGUUCAUAACUGGCCAUAUAGAACGCAGUACAAAAGCACUAAAAGCGUCCAAGUGAAAGUGCUUUCUCCUCAUGUAGUUUCAUUUAACUUAGUUUCACAUGCCACUCCGUCACACACUCAACUCCUCAACGUUCGGGCUCAAAGCAUUCUUUAUCCCUUCUGCACGAGAGACAAUAAGUUUAAAGUUCUUGUGAUGAAAUCAUGUAAAACAUUCAGAAAUCUUGAUUUAACCCUUUAUCAAGAUCAUAGGUUGUGUCAUCUCAACUUAUAUCUUAGGUCUUAUGAGUGCUCGUAAUACACUAAUAUGACACUUGUUUUCUGGCCAGGACAGAAACAAAAUCAUGCAGGAAAUUGUCAUGACAACUUCAGUGUAAAAUAAAGGUCGUACCCAGUGCACAAGGCUCCCGCUUUACGCAGGGUCUGGGAGAGGUGAAUGUCGGCUAACCUUACCCCCAUUUAUGGAGAGGCUGCUCCCAAACAACUUCAGUGUAAAAUGCGACCGGAAAAACACUAAACAAGAUUGCUAUGCUCUCUUAGUGUAAACCUUAACAACAAAGACUAUACCGUAUCUGUCACAGUGAUAUGCGACCAUAAGCCCAACUCCAAGAGCUUUGAAGGCUACAAAUCAAAAGUUACAUGCAGUGACGACAUAAUCAUGAAAAAAUACAAUCAUAAAUUAAAGGAAAACAUACCGACUUCUAGUUCUGGCAAUUCACUAUUGGGCCAUAUAUUUGAACCACAGUAUGAUGGAUACCUACAAUACAGAUCACAAAUAAAAUCUGAGCAGACACAAAGUAUUAUGUUCUGUUUACACAAAAUCUGUAAGUUCUCAAAUAGGAUAAAUAAAGAUAAACAUAUCCCAGCAUAAAGACGAUUUGUCCUGGCUAAUUCUAAGAAACCUUGUAUCAAAUGUAUGAUAGUUAUUCAUAACUAACACAAACAAUAGUUUUGCCGAACAUUUCUGGUCUGAGCCGUAUACUGUGUGACCUCAGACAAAACAGAUCCCACAUGGACCCAGAUUAUGAUUGAUGUCCCUAUAGACUUUUACCUUUGAAUUAGAGAUUCAUCUGUUGUAGGGCUUCCAAUAUUGGAUUUGCAUAAAACGAGCCUUUUAACGUAUCUGCAAAACCAGAACAGAAACGGAAAAUGAAUGAUCCUACGUUCUUAGAGUUUCCAAAGAAACAAAAUUUAAAACAAAGAACAUAAAGUGAUACCAGGCUUUCCAGAUUCCAGCUUCUCUUUUCCAUGACUCCAUCCAAAAUUGUACCUAAACAUGGAUGGCAGGUAAAAAGAAGAUAAGCAAUAAGACUUUGUAAAGAUUCCCAAGAAAAGCAAUAAAACUACGUAAAUAUUAGUUAAUAAUGCCAAGACCAUAGUCUGUGACAAAUCCAAGAGUUGAGAUGAGACUAUCUUUCAGGCAGGAAUUUUUGGAAUUUUUCUCUAUUGGGACUAAAAUGAAAGCAUAACAAUGGGACUAAAAUGACUUAGCUACUAUGAGGAUCUUCAAGUUCCUUCUUCACCUCUUCGGGCAGAUUGGCUAAUCUAAUAAACGAAAAGAAAACUCCCAUGAGCAGUGCUAUAACAAACUAUCUUCCUAAAUUCAUUAUGAAUUGCAGUUAAAACUUAAAAUGAACAUGAAAAUCCUACGUAGAAGGGAUAUACCUAGGUGACAAGCCUAGAAGAUUCUCACGCAAGGAAGAAUAUCCCGGAACCUACUGCCAUUAAGGUUGUUAUUAAUAUCAAUUCAUGUAUAUUUCCGCAUGUGUCAUAUUAUUAAGUUAGACAGUGAAAAAUAUAUAUCGGAUGUUAUGAGAAUAUGUGUGGCUGUCAAGCUUGACACGUGAAUAACAUGCUCUCUACUACUUUAUUACACUGUGAAGAUUUUAUCCAAAAUUAAUUGACGAUGAGCGAAUAAACUGAAAGAUUAUGCGCUACUUUGAUUAUGCAACGAGUGAAGAGGCAAUUUACGCCAACCUCCAGUCAAGAAUUUGGACUCACAAUCACUAGCCAAUAUGCUUUUUUCUCACAUUUCCCCUGACACGGCAAGUUCAUUGUUCAAUAUUCUGGUUCUGGUGUCCUAUGACCCUGACACGGCAAGUUCCACUUUUUGUUCAUUUUCUUGACGAAACCAUCACACUUACCCUUACGGCACGGCACGGUUCCGGGCAUAGAGCAUGGAUUGGGUUUCGUUGCAGUCCCGACACUACUUAGCACUGUAGAGAAGGAAAUACAAAGACAAGUUUGGAUUUCUUACAACGUAUUGAGUCUCUCGUCAUGGCUCUUGCUGUGUUGUUCUUAUUUCACAUCCUGUUUCUCGAGUUUGGUGUUUCCGGUUGCAAAUUUGGUUCGGCAGUGUAGUGCUCAAGAGAGGGGACUGUCUCACAUUGUUCCAAGCAGACACAGGCGGUUGACAACGAUUGCGAUAAUGUGUUUUUCUACUGGGAGAACAUACAGCAGUCAGCAGUCAUCUUUUCACAACCGUCUUCAGUAUUUGGAGGCACCUCAAGAAAUUAUCAAGGACAAACGAAUGUAGAAAAGAAGAAAUAUCGAAGUUAGUUGACAAAAGGGGCCGAAAAAUUGUGAGAUACAGAGAAGAAGAUUAGACGAAACUCGAUGCAAAUUUUAAGCUAGAUUAGUUAUUUUUCAUUAACGAGCGAUACAGAGAAGAAGAAACAGCUGCAUUUGGAGAAAGCUGCUUUAGUUGCCUAGUUUGUAACAUUAGCUUUCUGUAAUUCCGGGGAAGAAACAGGAGUAAAAAAAAAACACAAUCAGGCAGUACCAAAAAAGAAAAAUGUACAAUUAGGAACAAUCGCCACUUCUCAAACUUUGUAGUAGAUCCAGGUAUCUGAUGGACUCGGGGCUAAUGUACCUGCAUUAACAAGAAACAAAAAUCAGAUUUGUGGAAGGGAGUCACAUAGUGGUUAAAAUACUUGGCCGUGCAUGAAUGGUUUGAGAUACCAUCAUAGAGGCAUCCUCCAGGUGUGAGUUUCUCUCGUAUCUGAUCACUUAUUAUAAGAAUAUCAGUAGUGAAAGUGAAAUACCCGUGUCGGGAAAGGAAGUCAAUGAUGACAAAAGAGCAAUUUGGCUUGAAAUAUUGUGUCCUCCGUAUGAUGCUUGCAACAUGCAUCACCGAAUCCACUUGAAGCUCUCCACCUCUCCAUCUGUUAAAUGUUUCAUAAGCAGCAUUGUUAAAGUUCUCUCUAUUUGGGGGGAUAUUGCAGAUGGUUUUGAAUGAAGAAAGGCAAAAAUUCAUGCAGAAGGCAUAAUUUACAACUAGUUUUGUAAAAGCUAAGCUCUAAAGGUCUCACCUUGAUUCUUUGGCACAAAUAGCUAAAGUUUUGAGAUGGGACAAAAUGGGUCCCAAGACCCACAUACAGCGCAUCCGAUGGUGUUGAAAUCCUUUUCCCAGUAAGUCAAAGAUAAGCGCCAAGAAAGACAUGACAGUGUUAAACUUAAAACAAAUACAGAACUAAGAAUUGAUGCAUGAAUCAAACAGAGAAAUGGUACAGGCCAUUCUCUUUAUAUUCUUAUAAUCUAAACAUUUCUCCUUAUCAACACUGGAAAAACAGCUUGCUUCAGUCAUAGGAAAUAAAUUGCGCCUGGAGUAUAGAAAAGACAUACCUACAGAUCCUCCUCCUGGACUCUUUGCCGCUAUACGUGAAAACCCAACAUCUGGGAACAAACAAAUUACAUUCUCUGCCAUAGCAAGAACAGUCCUCUGAAAUGUAUCCAUACAAAGUUAAGACACAAAAAAUUCAAAAAGGCAAUGUAAUUCACAACAUUGACAAUCUCUGUCUGACAAGGCAAUAAUACCUCUGUAAUGAUCUGGUAGUGACCGUGACCUGAUAGGCCAACACCAAAGCCCAUUGUUAUGCCAUCCAUGAAGAUAGGGCUUCUUGUACUCAGAGAUUUUGCAUAUUAGAGAAUACUCAGCAGUGAAUACCUGAAAAACAUGCAGCACAAGUAUCAUACCGGUAGCCUCUCAAUCUUAAGAAAUGGUAGCUUAGAAAAGAUAUGAAUCCUAUCCAACCAAUACAAAUCAUAUUACCCAAGUUCAAGCAAAAUCACGACUAAACAAAUGAUCAGAUGUUGUAGGUUGCCCGAGAAUGUCAAACAUGAAAUUACAAAAGAAAAAAAAACAAUCGUAUGUAUUGAACAUUAAUAAAUACUUGCUGAAAGCACAAUCUUAGCUGCAAUUUAUGACAUUUAUACGAGAUUGAAUAGCCAAAGCAAUUAAAGAAGUAGCAGAACUCAUAUAAGUGAUUUUCACUUUGAACUUUUAGGCUUAUCAGCAAAUACAUCAUUACGAUUCUAACGCAUGAAUUUUGUUAAAAGGGGCUUGCUUGCUUGUAUUAAGGCUUAAUCAUCAAUGAUUUUGCAAGGGUCAAUCGUCUUGCUAGUUGUAAAUCCAUGCACUAUGAAAAUUACCAAAAUUACAUCUUAUAUGGUAGAGAAGGAAGUCAUCUUAUAUUAUCUGGAUUUUAGAAGACGGUGUAAGGUUAUAAGUCUGUUAUUCUAUAUAGUUUAAAGGACACAAUUAGACAACAAUCAUAUUCGGUGGUUGGUUUUUGGCCGUGAUCUGCUUCACAUCACCGCCCGCAGGUAAUCUAAAUCUGGGUUAUUACUUAUCAAUGAAUCAAAGUGCCAACUUAUCGGACACCAACUAUCUCUCUAUGGCAAAAAAAUAACACAAAAAGGAACAAUGAAGUGAAACAAUAAACAACAUGACAUGAAACAGCACAAACAUCAAAGACCAACAAUCUAUCACAUAAGCACCUAAACAAGAAACAACUUUAGUUCAAAGCAAAGCGUAAUGUAGAAACCUUCAGCACAAGAGGCGUGUUUUUGUCCUUUUGAAUUUCGGCAACAACAACUUUAAUAUCCUUACCUGCAUUUACCAUGAUUGGUCACUCUCAAAACCUUACCUAAGAGACCCAAAAACCAAAAUAACUGCUAAAAGAGCUGAACAUACAUAUCUAGAAAAACUUAUUCAACUACAUGCUAAAAUGGAAGUGUAAAAUUGCCAGGAAAGAUAAGAAACUAUUCAAAUACGAGUUCUGGGCGUUACCGCCACAAAAGGCACGAGCCGAGCGGCUAUCAACAAGAACACACUUCACAUUUGGGUCAGAUUCCCAUUCAUCCAGAUAGCUCUUGUAUUUCACAUCCAAAUCUGCAUUUUCCAACAAUUCCCACUUAAACAGAAACACAAAAUUCUUCCAAAAAGAGCUAACUUCUUUGAAAUUUGAAUCCAACGUUUCGUCUUAUAACAAAUGCAAUAACAUAGAUUUGUAAUCAAUACGAUGCCAUAAAGUUCAAGCUCAAAAAUUCAAAUCAUCUCCAAAUCAAAAGCAAUUACAGAUAUAUACAUAUAUACAUAUGCGUGUGUGUGUUUAUCUACAUACCUAGGUUUAUGGCGUUGAGAGCUCGGGGGGCGACCGAGGGUGAUGACGGCGACGCCAAAGGUGCGGAGAAGGCGAGGGGAUUUGGAGGGUUUUGUAAAGAGGGGAUUUGCUCAGAAUUUGGGUCGCUCGUCCCUCUUAUGAGAGUGAUUCAAAAAUCGAAAAAGUUGAAAUUUAUUGAUUGUGAUCUGACUCAAACAUGUGAUGAUGACGAUGCAUCACAACCUUGGUUGUGCCUCUGGAUCAAAAUCCUGUUCCAUCAAAUUCGUGCUCAUUUUCCUUCAUAGGUUUGUCCCAUACUAGAUUAACCCCUGUUCCCUUAAUUGUCACAUUACCAUAUUUACUGUAUGGCUCUGGCAUUUCAAAAGUUAUAUCAACUUUAUCCCCGCUUUGCAAAUUGAGCUUAUCAUUCGAUAUUUGUCCCUGCCAAAGAUAACAUUUUCCAGAUACAUUGCACAUUUUUAUAACCCAAUCUUCUUUGCCUAUGUAGGUCUGCAACUCAGUACGCUUGGUAUUAUUUAUAUCAAUAUUGGCACGAGGAUGACAUUCUCCACAACUGGCAUAAGGGCUUCUUGACUCAUUAGUAUUUGAGCAGUAAAAGCAUAAUAGAGUCAGUCCUUCCAAAUUACGACCAUCACUCGGGAGGAUAUCAAAACUGACUUUAUUACCAUCGUUGACAAACUCGAACCAAUCAGGAACAUAAUUCCCAUUGAGAAAAAUGCCAUCACUUGGGAGGAUAUCAAAACUGACUUUAUUACCAUCGUUGACAAACUCAAACCAAUCAGGAACAUCAGGAACAUAAUUCCCAUUGAGAAAAAUGCCAUCACUCGGGAGGAUAUCAAAACUGACUUUAUUACCAUCGUUGACAAACUUGAACCAAUCAGGAACAUAUUUCCCUUUGAAAAAAAUAUCCGCAAGAAGUCCAUCCCUACAUAUACAGUGCAAGUGUCAUAUUUAUAUAUAUACACACACACAAUGUACAUGUGCGUUGUGUGUGUGCAUGUGCGCAAUAGGAAGACAAUUAAAGAGAGAUACCUUUAGGACGUUACUCAUAAAACCAGCGGUGAGUUUGGGGCAGUACCUCAUAUUAAAAUGUCGUGGAGUUUAAUGACUUAUCCAAGUCUGGAACCUCAGUGAGUGCGCGUGAAUCACAUACAUGUAGCUCUCUCAUAUUCGACAUUUUCGAAAAAUUGGGCAUUGUUACCAAACGGGAGCAAUCAGACGCAUACAGAAAUUUCAAAUUUGUUGGUAAACCAUAGAUUGUAUGAAGGUUACGGCAGUAAUUUAACUGCAAACGUUCAAGCUUUGAAAAACCAAUGAGGCUGGGUAAGGUAUGAAAAUCAUUACAUGUGAGACACAAAUCUUGCAAAGAAAUUAGACUCCCAAAAUCUUUUGGGAAUGCAUCAUCGCUUAAGCGCUGGAAUGAGAGAUCUAAAUUUCUUAAAGAGUCUAAGCCGUGUAACGAAUUGGGAAAUUGUGUGACAUGCCCCCUUAAAAUGAAAUCAGUGGUAAACCAUGAUUUCCGUAGAAAUAAAUGAGUGAGAUUCUUCAAUCUUACUGUGGAACGCGGUACUUGUCUUAUGGCUGUUUCAGACGCUUUAAGUACUCUCAAUGAUAUCAUCUUCCCUAAAUCCUCGGGCAGUUCAUUGAAUCGCCUACAAAAAUCAAGAACAAGAGUCUGAACGGAUUUGGACUUGUAGAAAUCCCCAGGAAGAGAAAUAAGAUUAUGGCAGCAUGUGAGGUUCACCAAAGAAAGUUUUUUAAGCUGACCAAUGGAGGGGUGAAUCUCGAACAAACUCUCACACCUUCCCAAUAUCAACUCUUCAAGACUUGGGAGAUUUGAUAAGUCUGGUGAUUUUUUUAAGUCACAGCAAUUACUGAGAUUAAGGAUUUUCAAGUUUUCAAGCGACUGUUGCACAAAAUCCAAAAGGUCAUACCCAGUGCACAAGGCUCCCGCUUUACGCAGGGUCUGGGAGAGGUGAAUGUCGGCUAGCCUUACCCCCAUUUAUGGAGAGGCUGCUCCCAAGUCUCGAACCCGAGACCUACCGCUUAUGGGCGAAGGCAUUUGUCAUCGCACCAAGUGCGACCUCUUUGGGGAAAUCCAAGAAAAAUUAAAAUUAAUAUCCAAAAGGAAUAUCUCAUAAAAUAAAUAAAUAAAUAAAUAAAUAAAGAGAGAAGGAAAUCCAAAAACAAAUAGAAACUUAACAUCAUCAUGUGUAAUCGAUUGUACCUUGGAGCCCUCCCAAACUUGUACCAGUUUGCUAUGCUUUAUCUCUAAAAUAACUAGUGUUCUUGGUUGAUCAAAGAAGUCAUCUGGUAUGGACUCUAAAAGGUAUCCUUCCCAACGCAACCAUACUAACUCUUUGGGGAGAUGUUUGUAUUCUCCAUUGAGCUGCACGUUCUGGAGCAUGAGCAGUCUCAGUUUCUUCAUAUUAGCAAAUGCUUCUGUACUGAUACAACUAGACUUUAAAGGGAAUUCUCCACGGAGCUGCACGCGGUGGAUCAGUCCCAGUUCCCUCGAAUUGGUAGGGAAACUUACAACAAGUCCUUCAACUUCUUUAGUUCCCUGUUAACAACACAUUAUACUGGGUAAGAAAAGGAUUAUGUGCAUCUAUUUUACGUGAUUUUGCUAAUUGAGCUUCUUAAUGCAAAUACAUAUAUUUACACAUGAAUUUUUUAAUGUAUAAUAGGCAUACGUGGGUUACAUAUAUGCUUUUCUUGUACGAUGCAUUAAUACAAAUUUUUUUUGGGAAUCUACUUACAGAUUUAUUUGUUAGUACAUCAUAGACAUCUCCAGGGAUCCACAACCUGCUCCAUUCUCCAGGGGGACGAGUGGAUUUUUCAGAAAUGAUUAAUUUGGCCAUUUCUCGAAGCAAAUCAUGCAUAUUCAACUUCUUGUCUUCAACAGUUAUAAGGCAUCGUUCACGGAGGUUACUGAUUCCUAUUGUUGCAAAAAACUUACAUUCAUCUAAUAUUUUUGCGACAUCGUCCUUAUCCCAUCCAAUAAAGAAACAAGAUAUGUCAAGGAAUAUAUCCUUCUGCGUAGGAUCUAGCCUUUCAAAGCUUACUUUUAGCGGUUUCAUUAUUCCUUCAUCAUGAAAUUUUUUCAAUUUCUUCAAUUGACUUUUCCACUCUGCUGGGGUUCUUUCAGUCAUAGAAGAACCUAAAACUUCAAGGGCUAGUGGCAAACCACCACAGUAAGAAACCACCUCUUUUGAGAGUUCAAGAUAUCCUUCAUUAGGCCAACUAUUUCCAAAGGCAUGCCAACUAAAGAGCAUCAGGGCUUCUUCUUCAUUCAUUUCUUGAAGCGGAUAUGUCUUGUCCACUUUCAUGUUCACUUGCUUUAGUAAACGUUCAUCUCGUGUCGUUAUGAUAAUUCUACUUCCUGGGCCAAACCAAUCACGAUUUCCAGCCAUUGCAUUUAGUUGUUCCACUUUGUCUACAUUGUCAACAAUGACAAAUACGCUUCUACGUCGGAGAUGAUUUUUUAUCAGACUGAUACCUCCAUCAACACUGGUUAUCUUAUUAGACUCGGUCUGUUUCAAGAUGUCAGAAACAAGUUUUCUUUGCAAAUCAACCAGAUCAUAUUCGCUAACGUUGGCAAGGAAACUUUUGAACUGGAACUUAUGAUGAAUUUGGUUAUAAAUGGCUUUGGCAGCUGUUGUUUUACCCAAUCCACCCAUCCCCCAAAUUCCAACCAUGCGUACAUCUGAUCCACCAUUUGAAAGAUAAGUGAUGAUAUCUUGAAUGCGGGUAUAUAUUCCAACUGGGUGCUUGGCCACAUGUAAUUUUUCUGCGCUCGGAAGCCAUUCCGGGAUAAUCUUGUCAACAAUUUCUCUAAUAAGCUUUGCUUCGCGCCUGAAAAUUGAAUUCGUAAGCGUUAGUGGGACUCAAUGAACAGUAGGAGCUAUCAGUACAUAGACAAUUGUCUUUACUUCAUAAAAGAAAGAAAUUCAUUCACUAAAAUGUUUCAAAACUUGAAAAGCAGGUGAAUGAUUACCCAUUGUUAGUGAUUUGAAGAUGUUGGCCAAACAAAUUUGCAGCUUCUGUAAGAGCCUUUCUCCAUUGCUUUACCCUUUCUUGUUUAGCUUCACGUUCCUUGUCAUCUUUUUCUUCAUGGAUGCCCUCUUCGUGCUUCUGAAAUGCUUGAGCUAAAUCUCCGUUCUGCUUCCUAAUGUGAAGGAUCAACAUGAUAGAAUAUUGGCAAAACACGUCGCCCCAGUUUGUAUCUGCACUCCAUGAUCUUCACCAGCUCGUCAAGACACCAACUCGAGUCCGCAUAACUCUUUGAGAAGACAAUGAUAGAGAUCCUCGCCUCUUUGAUUGCCCGGACCAGUUCCUCUUUUAUUUCUUCCCCUCUUUCUAGAUCGUCCUCAUCGAUAUAAGCCUGGUAUCCCCUGUCAGUUAAUGCCGCAUGGAGGUGGCCCGUGAAACCAUUGCGUGUGUCUACACCGCUGAAUCUCAAGAACAUGUCGUAAUUCCAAAGUUUUGACUUGGAGGACGAUGAAGAGGAGGCUUCGUGGGUCGUCAUGGCGGUAUCCACCGUUAUGGCACUGCAGUGGUUCAGAUCACGACUGAAAAAUGGCAGUAGUUGUGCUCAUGCUGUCGAACGAAUGAUCCUGAAAUACCUAAAACCCAAGUCAAGCUCCUUCAGUCAACAAGAAUAAAGUUUUAAUAUAAUAAUGUUGGUGUAUGGACUUGAGAAACGACAUAAUGUUGGCCGGAAAGUGCAGAGAAAGAGAGAGGAAAAGAGGAACAAAAGGAGAAAGACUAUCCAAAUGAUUCUUGGCUGUGAUUACAGCUAUUCAUAGGAGAAACAACGUACAUAUUUUCAUAGGAGAAACAACUUGCCCAUCUUCAUAUAUAAUACAUUUCAACAGACAUAUUUUAAUAGGAGAAACUAGGGGUGGGCAAACGGGUCCAGGAACCGCAGGUCGGGGCGGGUAAUGGCGGUUCAGGGCGGGUACAGGCCGGGUCUUAUUUUUUUAAAGAAGAAACGGGGUGGGGGCGGGGAGGUGGUAUUUAUGGGGCGGGUCGAGUUCAAAUUUGUACAAGCAUGGGGCCCCGGGCCGACCCGUUCCUAAAAUGGACUGAUUGGAACCUGGACAAUAUGUUGUGGGCUUACUACACAAGGCAAUGGCCCAUGUGGGCUUACUGCUCGAAUACUCUAGAAACUAUGAUCCGACUCCUAUCUCUCCUGGAUCGAUCCCCAAAUCCCACUACUCUCUCUCCUCGUCGGCAUCACCGAACACAGAACCACCGAUUCACCACCAUCGUCACCCAUCACCGCCGUGGCGACCAUCACCAUCGCAGACGCUAUUAACCGUUAGUUUCACCCUAGGUCUCCCCUAUGUCUAUCACUCAAGUCCUCGAUCGUUUCUCUCCCGCGUGCGUCAUUCCCUCCACGGUUCUUCCACUACACUCUGUCACUCUCCGUCACUCUCCGUCAGUCACCUCCUCCACCACCCCGACAUCAACCCCGUCGCGAGUCUGGGCCCUGGCGACCACCACGACGAGCCAGCAACCUCGAUUGUCUUCCUCGAGUCCUCGAUGGCAUCCCAGAUUUAGAGAACUUUAGGGUUCUCUUUCUCCCUCCCACCCCUCGAAUCGACUGCGUCGACAUCAAAUCAGCCACCACACGAGUCACGAGGCUUCAAAUUCGGCUGGUGACUGCCCAAUCUGGUGCGACUCAACCGAUUCCGAGCGCUCUUGACUCUGUCGACGAAGAAGAAGAAGAGAAGAAAAAAAAAAAUAACCCGUGGACCCGGGCCGGGUUAGGUCAGGUUUCUGUGUUAAAAUUAGUUGUACCCGCCCCUGCCCGACCUGUUUCUUUUAAACCUGGGUCCGGCCGGUCCCUUCAAAAUUGGGCCCGGCCCUGGGCCCGGCCCGGCCCAUGCCCAGCCCUAGGAGAAACAACUUUAGUUUUUACUAGAAAUUUUUACCCACACGUUGCUACAGGAUUUGAAAUUGUAUAAAAGAUUAUCUUUGAAAUAUAUAAUAGAUUGUGUGAUUGAAGAUUAAUACUAUUUACACUGAAAACGUUGGGAAAAGUUUUACAUACAAAAGAUUUUACAAUACAAUCCACAUACAAAAGAUGGUAAAUUUUUUUCUAUCUACAUGCAUUAUGUUAUGGAAUGAUAUAUAUAUAACUAAGUUCCAGAAUACGUAAAUUUCAUAAUUUCGAAUUUUUUUGACAAAUUAAUCAGAUUCAACUGUGGGAUAGAAAGGUCGCCUAUAAAGUUGUGAAGUCGUGGAAGCAUAAAGGACAAAUAACAAAUGAGUUUUGAGAAAUUAUUCCACAAAAGUCAUUUUGCAAAAUGCAAAUGUAUUAAAGACGAUUGGUACAAGAUUAGUAAUCAUAAGUAGUGUAACAACAUCAACAAAAUAACUAUAAACCAUAGUUGAACAUAAUUCAAAUUUCGUUUGCAAAAACAAAAGAAAAAGAAAGAAAACAUACUUACAAUAAUUCAGCCUUUAAUCCUAAAGUCCUACUCAAAGAUCCAAACUUGAAUGCAAGCUUUCUGAAAUCUUCCAAACAAUACAGAUAAAAAGGUAACACCCUAGUCAGAAAUGAACCAAGGUGCGAGCUUUCUUAGAAACUCAGAUGAAAAAAUCAACAAAAUAGAAUGAAAAAAUGACUUACACUUUUAAGGCAUGCUCGAAUCGUGAUCUAAAAUUGGUGGUGGGUCGAUUGUUGGUCACCAACUCUAAAUGAAGAAUUCAUCAGAACCUAGAAAUUUAACAAAGAAUUUUCCAAAAUCAACAUUUACUAAAAACCAGUUACUUGGUUAUCAUGCAUGAUGGCUUGCCAAAGACUAAAUUAAGGAAUGCACAACUUUACCUUUAUGAUAUUUUCAAUGACAGCUAAAAGGUCAGAUUCAAAUGAAAAUAAAAGUUAGGACUUCACAAAACCAAUUAAAAAUCUAAUUCCAAAGUUACAAACACCAACCAAAUGAUUCCAGAUAAAGUUUUAAACUCAAAGUCAGACCCAAAUGAAAUUAAAAGUUAGGACUUCACAAAACCAAUUGAAAAUCUGAUUCCAAAGUUCCAAACACCCACCAAAUGAUUCUGGAUAAAGUUUAAACUCAAAAACCCAACAGAAACAAAAACCCAAAGUUCCAAACACCCACCAAUUGGUGUGACUUAAUUGUAUCUAAUUGAAGAAACUAAAACAAAAAUAAAGCAAAGUAUAUACCUCAAAAUAUCAACCAACUAAGUUCUUCCUCCGACAACCCAAAACUCUGAAAAUUCCACACAAAAAGGGUAAAUCCGUAAGCAAUUCAUAGCUUUCAAAAUUAACAAAAACUUGGGCAACAAUAAAGACACGUUGAGAACCAUCACUCUUUCUCCUUGUGUAUUUGAAAAUAUAUUUUAUAAGCAGUUUAUGUAGUCAUUCUGAUCAUGUUGCAGUUAAAUUCCUUUUCCACAGAGUUCAAAAUUAUAUGGCAGUUUAUGGCAUCUGUUGAACAACAUGGUUGAAAGAUUUAAAAUUGAUACAUUCAAUUUUUAUGUGUAAAACUAUAACAUAUACCUAAAGCUAUUUGGUCUAUAUAUCCAUAUCAAUCAUGUUGUAAUUAAAUGUUUAUCGAUGUAAAUAGAUGAUUUCAGUCAUGUGAUAACAUGUUUCUUGUUAGUAUACGCUGAAGUUUGGUCUAAGUUGGAUAAAAAUCGACCAAAAUCUUAGUAAGAGACUCUUUUAACUUUUAACCAAAAAAUGAGCACCACAAUACUACACUCAUAAGUUUUAUCAUGCACAAAAUAUACAACACUGAUAGCCACUUUUAGAGCAAGAACAAUACUUUACCAGACGAAAACAACAAAACACUCAAAACCCAGAAACAGAAACACACUUAGGACUCAAACUCCUCAAAAACAUAAGAAAGAGAGUGCAUGAGGAGAGAGAAUAAAAAAAAAUAUUAUUUUUCACAAACUCAAAAUUGCUUAUAAAAUUACAAAUCAAAACAAAUGAAUGCAAAUCCAAAAUUGCCCUAAAUUAAAUCUGUUUAGUUAAAUGUUUGUUGCCCUUCAAAUGUCAUUACACCUGACAAUUGCUUUGAAGUUGAUAUUUUGGUCAAUCCAGGGGAAAAGGAGUUAUUUCUUUUGGAGCAGUUGUCAUGGAGAAUCCCAUCUCCAUGUUGAAUGAUCUAAAAAAUUACUUACAUCUUCUGGUGGCCACAAUAAUUUAGGAGGCCCUUCUCUCCAGAUUUUCUCAAUAACUUUGCUUUUCGUAGCUGGUAAGAUUGCAACUCCAAGAAUUGCUCUGAAGAGAUAUAUACAAACAAAAUCAACCUAAAACUAAGCUAUUGGAACAAAUUUGGAAAACACAAACACCACUACAACUCAGAGUUAAAGUCAAUAGAAACCAAAUGGGAGAAGUUGAAAAAAUAUAUGGUCAUGAAUCGAGAACUUCAUCAAACUAACAGCAAUAAAAUCUCAUAUAAUCUGUCUAAAACCAAAAGAGAGAGAGAGGUAAUUUCAAGACCUUGUAACGCUAAGGCCUCGUACAGUUGUAGUAAUAAUAUAUGGUUGAUGCACCUGUUGCUCAAUCAAAUCCUUUGUCUGGCUAAAAAAAUAAAAAUCUAUAAAUACAUUCACGUCCAAUUUAUGAGAAAUCAUGGGAAAGCAAAUGCACUGAUAACGGAAUCAUGAAUAUGAAGAACUUGCCAAAAAGAAAAAGAAAACUUCUUAUAGUGUGCCAAGAACAUCCUCCUACUCCUAGCAAAUUUUUUAUGGCAUUAUCCACUUCUCAAUUCAUAAUUCAACCAGUAACUCAAAGUCUAUAGUGUAUGAAAAAGUGAUAUCUUAGUUGAUCACGAUGAUAAUUAAGCAGAUUAAAUGACGACCCAUAAAGCAUACAAAUUCAGAAAAGAAAAGGUUCAAAACUGCCAUAAGAAAACACAGAAUAUAUAAACGGGAAAUCAAAAGAAGAGAAGCGAAAAGGAAGAAAAAACCAAACAAAAUUAUUAGGUUUGUGAUAUACCUUUAUCCGAAACGCCACAAUCAUCAAAGUCAAACAUAAACAAUCCAAAAAUUUGUGGAAAAUAACAAUAAAUGCUUAACUAAAAACGAAAGAAAACGUAGAAUAAGUUUACAUGUUCUCCCCCUAAUUAAACUGGAAUACAAUUCACCACUAAUAUUCUCGUCAUCCUCUUCAGCCUGAAAAAUUUAGUAGAAAUAUUCAAUGAAGACGCUUAAUGGAGACAGUAAUAUUAGCAAUGGAGGAAUUGAAUUGAUAACUAAAACUGCAAGACCAAAUGACUACAAUAGGUUCACAACAGAAACUCGUCUGUUAGAUGUCUCAUCUUUAGGCAGUGCCUUGUUCUUUUUUUUUCUUUUUUGUCCUUUUGAAUUUCGGCAACAACAACUUUAAUAUCCUUACCUGCAUUUACCAUGAUUGGUCACUCUCAAAACCUUACCUAAGAGACCCAAAAACCAAAAUAACUGCCAAAAGAGCUGAACAUACAUAUCUAGAAAAACUUAUUCAACUACAUGCUAAAAUGGAAGUGUAAAAUUGCCAGGAAAGAUAAGAAACUAUUCAAAUACGAGUUCUGGGCGUUACUGCCACAAAAGGCACGAGCCGAGCGGCUAUCAACAAGAACACACUUCACAUUUGGGUCAGAUUCCCAUUCAUCCAGAUAGCUCUUGUAUUUCACAUCCAAAUCUGCAUUUUCCAACAAUUCCCACUUAAACAGAAACACAAAAUUCUUCCAAAAAGAGCUAACUUCUUCGAAAUUUGAAUCUAACGUUUCGUCUUAUAACAAAUGCAAUAACAUAGACUUGUAAUCAAUACGAUGCCAUAAAGUUCAAGCUCAAAAAUUCAAAUCAUCUCCAAAUCAAAAGCAAUUACAGAUAUACACAUGUAUACAUAUGCGUUUGUGUGUUUAUCUACAUACCUAGGUUUAUGGCGUUGAGAGCUCGGGGGGCGACCGAGGGUGAUGACGGCGACGCCAAAGGUGCGGAGAAGGCGAGGGGAUUUGCUCAGAAUUUGGGUCGCUCGUCCCUCUUAUGAGAGUGACUCAAAAAUCGAAAAAGUUGAAAUUUAUUGAUUGUGAUCUGACUCAAACAUGUGAUGAUGACGAUGCAUCACCACCUUGGUUGUGCCUCUGGAUCAAAAACCCACCAUCACCAUCAAAAUCGUGCUCAUUUUCCUUCAUAGGUUUGUCCCAUACUAGAUUAACCCCUGUUCCCUUAAUUGUCACAUUAUCUAAUGUAACGUAUGGCUCUGGCAUUUCAAAAGUUAUAUCAACUGUAUCCCCGCUUUGCAAAUUGAGCUUAUCGUUCGAUAUUUGUCCCUGCCAAAGAAAACAUUCUUUAUAUACAACAUCGCGCAUGAGGUUUUUUCUUUUUUUGGCGUAACAAUCGCGCAUUUUUAUAACCCAAUCUUCCUUGCUUAUGCAGGUCCGCAACUCAGUACGCUUGGUAUUAUUUAUAUCAAUCCUGGCAAGAGGAUGACUAUCUUUACAUCUGAUAUAAGGGCCGAACUGAGAAGGACUUGAGCAAUAAAAGCAUAACAGAGUCAGCCCUUCAAAAUUACAACCAUCACUCGGGGGGAUAUCAAAAGUGAUUUUAUUACCAUCGUUGACAAACUCGAACCAAUCAGGAACAUAAUUCCCAUUGAGAAAAAUGCCACCAUAUCCGCAAGAAGUCCAUCCCUAUAUACACAGUGCAAGUGUCAUAUAUAUAUACAUGUACAUGUGCGUUGUGUGUGUGCAUGUGCCCAAUAGGAAGACAAUUAAAGAGAGAGAUACCUUUAGGACUUUCCUCAUAAAAUCAGCGGUGAGUUCGGCGCAAUACGUCAUAUCAAUCCAUGUCAUGGAGUUUAAUGACUUAUCCAAGUCUGGAACCUCAGUGAGUGCAUGUGAAUCACGUACAUUUAGCUCUCUUAUAUUCGACAUUUUCGAAAAAUUUGGCAUUGUUAUCAAACGAUAGCAACGAGACGCAUCCAGAAAUUUCAAAUUUGUUGGUAAACCAUAGAUUGUAUGAAGGUUAUGGCAGUAACCUAACCACAAAUUUUCAAGCUUUGAAAGACCACUGAGGCUGGGUAGGGUAUGAAAAUCAUUAGAUGAGAGAUCUAAAUUUCUUAAAAAGUCUAAGCUGAGUAACGAAUCGGGAAAUUGCAAAUGAGUGAGAUUCGUCAAUCCUAGAGAUAAAUGAGUGAGAUUCUUCAAUCUUACUGUGGAACGCGGUACUUGUCUUAUGGCUGUCUCAUAUGCUUUAAGUACUCUCAAUGAUAUCAUAUUCCCUAAAUCCUCGGACAGUUCACUGAAUUGCCCACAAAAAAUCAAGAACAAGAGUCUGAACGGAUUUGGACCUGUAGAAAUCCCCAGGAAGAGAAAUAAGAUUCUUGCAGCCUGUGAGGUUCACCAAAGAAAGUUUUUUAAGAUGACCAAUGGAGGGGUGAAUCUCGGACAAACUCUCACACCAUUCCAAUAUCAACUCUUCAAGACUUGGGAGAUUUGAUAAGUCUGGUGAUUUUUCUAAGUCAGAGCAACCACUGAAAUCAAGGAUUUUCAAGUUUUUAAGCGACUGUUGCACAAAAUCCAAGAAAAAUUAAAAUUAAUAUCCAAAAGGAAUAUCUCAUAAAAUAAAUAAAUAAAGAGAGAAGGAAAUCCAAAAACAAAUAGAAACUUAACAUCAUCAUGUGUAAUCGAUUGUACCUUCGAGCCCUCCCAAACUUGUACCAGUUUGCUAUACUUUAUCUCUAAAAUAACUAGUCUUGGUUGAUCAAAGAAGUCAUCUGGUAUGGACUUUAAAGGGCAUUCAUUCCAACACAACCAUAUUAACUCUUUGGGGAGAUGUUUGUAUUCUCCAUUGAGUUGCACGUUGUAGAGCUGGAGCAGUCUCAGUUUCUUCAUAUUGGCAAAUGCUUCUGUACUGAUACUUGGAGACAGAAGAUCAGGGAAACCUACAACAAGUCCUUCAACUUCUUUAGUUCCCUGUUAACAACACAUUAUACUGGGUAAGAAAAGGAUUAUGUGCAUCUAUUUUACGUGAUUUUGCUAAUUGAGCUUCUUAAUGCGAAUACAUAUAUUUACACAUAAAGGUCGUACCCAGUGCACAAGGCUCCCGCUUUACGCAGGGUCUGGGAGAGGUGAAUGUCGGCUAGCCUUACCCCCAUUUAUGGAGAGGCUGCUCCCAAGUCUCGAACCCGAGACCUACCGCUCAUGGGCGAAGGCACUUGCCAUCGCACCAAGUGCGACCUCUGAAUACAUAUAUUUACACAUAAAUGUUUUUAAUGUAUGACAGCUAUACGUGGGUUACAUAUUUGCUUUUCUUGUACGAUGCAUUAAUACAAAAUUUUAUAGGGAAUGUACUUACAGAUUUAUCUCUCAAUACAUCAGUGACCUCCUGCUGGUUCCACAACCUACUCCAUUCUCCAGGGUGACGAGGGGAUUUUUCAGAAAUGAUUAAUUUGGCCAUUUCUCGAAGCAAAUCAUGUAUAUUCAACUUGUUGUCUUCAACAGUUAUAAGGCAUCAUUCACGAAGGACACUCAUUCCUAUUGUCGCAAAAAAGUCACAUCCAUCUAAUAUUUUUGUGACAUAGUCAUUAUCCCAUCCAAUGAAGAAACAAGAUAUGUCAAGGAAUAUAGCCUUCUGUUUAUCAUCUAGCCCUUCAAAGCUUAUUCUUAGUCGUUGUAUUAUUUCUCCUUCAGGAGUUGUUUUCAAUUUUACCAAUUGAUUUUCCCACUCUGCUAUGGUUCUUCCAAUUAAAAAAGUGCCUAAAACUUCAAGUGCUAGUGGCAAACCUCCACAGUAAGAAACGAUCUUCCUUGAGAGUUCAAGAUAUCCUUCAUUAGGCCAACAAUUUCUAAAGGCAUGCCAACUAAAGAGCUCCAGAGCUUCUUCUUCAUUCAUUUUAUGAAGCGGAUAUAUCUUGUCCACUCCAACUUGGCGUAGUAAAUGUUCAUCUCGUGUCGUUAUGAUAAUUCUACUUCCUAAGCCAAACCAAUCACAAUUUCCAGCUAUUGCAUUUAGUUGUUUCAUUUUGUCUACAUUGUCAAUAAUGACAAGUACGCUUCUACGUUGGAGAUGAUAUUUUAUCAGGCCGAUACCUUCAUCAACACUGGUUAUCUCAGGCUUGGUCUGUUUCAAGAUGUCAGAAACAAGUUUUUUUUGCGAAACAACCAGAUCUUUUUCACUAACGUUGUCAAGGAAACUUUUGAAUUGGAACUCAUGAUGAAUUUUGUUAUAAAUGGCUUUGGCAGCUGUUGUUUUACCCAAUCCACCCAUCCCCCCAAAUUCCAACCAUGCGAACAUCAUCUGAUCCACCACUUGAAAGAUAACUGAUAAUAUCUUGAACGCGAGAAUUGAUUCCAACCAGGUGAUUGGCCACAUGUAAUUUGUUUGCUCUCCGAAGCCAUUCCGGAAUAAUCUUGUCAACAAUUUCUCUAAUACGCUGUGCUUCGCAACUGAAAAUUGAAUUGGCAAGCUUAGUAAGCUCAGUAGGAGCUAUUAGUACACAAACAAUUUUCUUUCCUUCGUGUGUGUGUGUGUGUGUGUGUGUGUGUGUGUGUGUAUACACACUAACUAGCUACUAGCUAGUAUGUGAGUUUGUGAUCAACUUCAAUAAAAGAAACAAAUUCAUUCACUGAUAUAUUAAAGUUUGGUGUAUCAAUUAAACUCAUUAUGGUUUAGAUUUUAGAAGAAAUUGGAGAAAUGGUCCAUGAACUAUGAUCGAAUUGUAGCUUUGGUUCUUAAACUAAAAAUUCAUUAAAUCUCGUCCCUGAACUUAACAAAAUAUGGAACAUUGGUCCCUCCAUGUUAACACCGUAAGAUUUUCUGUUAAUUUGAUAACGUCGUCUUUGUGGGCUCCAUAUUUUUGUUUAUUAGAUGCCACGUUGCUUGAAAAUUCAAAUAAAAGAAAAUAAAUACAAGCAUUGAGAAACAAAGAGAAAAAAAAAUACUUUAAAUUAUAAAAGUUAACUCUCUCCCAUCCUCCCUUCCGCCUCACCUUCUCCAAACCCCAGCCACACCAUUGUAGCACUUUCCCAACAGCCAAAACAAAAGAAAAGUUCCUCAUCCAAAUUUGGAACACACCUCACCUUGCAAACGACUUCACAAUGACAUUCAUCUACGCUGUCUCGAAAGGUAAGAUUCAAGAAAUUUGUGGGAUGCGGGUUCGGGGUUCGGGUGAAGGCUGUGGUCCGUGGGCUAAAGGUUGGGGUCGGCUGGGGAGUGGGGAUUAGGGAUUGGGGGUUGGAAGUGGGAGGUUGACGGGGUGGGAAUCAACGAUUGAAGGUGAAGGGGUGGGCUGCGAGCCUGCGAGUGUUGGUGGGAUGAGGUAGGCCUGCAAUUAUAUAUAUAUAUGUAUGUAUGUAUGUAUGUAUGUAUGUAUGUAUAUAUAUAUGUAUGUAUGUAUAUAUGUAUAUAUAUGUAUGUAUAUAUAAUAUAGGUGAAACUAACAUGUAAAGUUGUAAACACUUUUAACUAAAACUGAAAGGAAUUGGUUACGAAGGACUAACGCUCCAUAUUUUAUCAAGUUCAAGGACAAAAUAUAAUGAAAUUUUAGUUUAGGAACCAAAGCUACAAUUUUCCUCUAGAUUUGAUAUGAGAUUUAAGGCGUAUUAAUUAAGCAUGUUAAUUAGAGUAAUGCAACUUAGAUAUUGAAAAGCACGUGAAUGAUUACCUAUUAUCAGUGAUUUGAAGAUGGUAGCCAGACAAAUUUGCAGCUUCUCUAAGAGCAUUUCUCCACUGCUUUACCCUUUCUUGUUUUUCUUCACGUUUCUUGUCAUCUUUUUCUUUACGAAUGUUCUUUUUGUGUUUCUUAAAUGCUUGGGCUAAAACUCCAUUCUGGUUCCUGACAUGUGAAGGAUCAACGUGAUAGAAUAUUGGCAAAACAUGGCGCUCCAGUUUGUCUCUGCACUCGAUGAUCUUCAUCAGCUCAUUAAGACACCAACUCGAACUCGCAUACCUCUUUGAGAAGACAAUGAUAGAGAUCUUCGAUUCUUCGAUUGCCUGGAACAGUUCUUUUUGUAUUUCUUCCCCUCUUUUUAGAUCGUCCUCAUCAAUAUAAGCCUGGUAUCCCCUGUCCGUUAAUGCCCUGUGGAGGUGGCCCGUGAAACCAUUGCGUGUGUCUACACCGCUGAAGCUCAAGAACACGUCGUAAUUCCAAAGUUUUGACUUGGAGGACGAUGAAGAGGAGGCUUCGUGGGUCGUCAUGGCGGUAUCCACCAUUAUGGCGCUGCAGUGGUUCAGAUCACGACUGAAAAAUGGCAGUAGUUGUGCUCGUGCUGUCGAACGGAUGAUCCUGAAAUACCUAAACCCAAGUCAAGCUCCUUCAGUCAACAAGAACAAAGUUUUAAUAUAAUAAUGUUGGUGUAUGGACUUGAGAAACGACAUAAUGUUGGCCGGAAAGUGCAGAGAAAGAGAGAGGAAAAGACGAAUGAAAGGAGAAAAGACUAUCCAAAUGAUUCUUGGCUGUGAUUACAGCUAUUCAUAGGAGAAACAAUGGACAUAUUUUCAUAGGAGAAACAACCUGCCCACUUCAUUUAUAAUAUAUUUCAACAGAGAUAUUUUAAUAGGAGAAACAACUUUCGUUUGUACUAGAAAUUUUUACCCGCGUGUUGCUACGUGAUUUGAAAUUGUAAGAAAGAUUAUCUUUGAAAUAUAUAAUAGAUUGUGUGAUUGAAGAUUAAUACUAUUUACAUUGAAAACGUUGGAAAAAGUUUUACAUACAAAAGAUUUUACGAUACAAUCCACAUCAAAAGAUGGUAAAUUUUUUUCUAUCUACAUGCAUUAAGUUAUGGAAUGAUAUAUAGAUAUAUAUAUAUAACUGAGUUCCAGAAUACGUAAACUUCAUAACUUGGAAAUUUUUUGACAAAUUAAUCAGAUUCAACUGUGGGAUAGCAAGGUCGCCUAUAAAGUUGUGAAGUCGUGGAAGCAUAAAGGACAAAUAACAAAUGAGUUUUGAGAAAUUAUUCCACAAAUGUCAUUUUGCAAAAUGUAUUAAAGACGAUUGGGUACAAGAUUAGUAAUCAUGAGUAGUGUAACAACAUCAACAAAAUAACUAUAAUCCAUAGUUGUUGAACAUAAUUCAAAUUUCGUUUGCAAAAACAAAAGAAAAAGAAAACAGACUUACAAUAAUUCAGCCUUCAAUCCUGAAGUCCUACUCAAAGAGCCAAACUUGAAUGCAAGCUUUCUGAAAUCUUCCAAACAAUACAGAUAAAAAGGUAACAUCCUAGUCAGAAACGAACCGAGGUGCAAGCUUUCUUAGAAACCCAGAUGACAAAAUCAACAAAAGAGAAUGGAAAAAUGACUUACACUUUUAAGGCAUGCUCAAAUCUUGAUCUAAAAUUUGUGGUGGGUCGAUUGUUGGCCACCAACUCUAAAUGAAGAAUUCAUCAGAAACUAGAAAUUUAAACAAAGAAUUUUCCAAAAUCAACAUUUACUAAAAACCAGUUACUUGGUUAUCAUGCAUGAUGGCUUGCCAAAGACUGAAUUAAGGAAUGCACAACUUUACUUUUUAUGAUUAUUUUCAAUGAUAGCUAAAAGGUCAGAUCCAAAUGAAAAUAAAACUUAGGACUUCACAAAACCAAUUAAAAAUCUAAUUCCAAAGUUACAAACACCCACCAAAUGAUUCCAGAUAAAGUUUUAAACUCAACGUCAGACCCAAAUGAAAUUAAAAGUUAGGACUUCACAAAACCAAUUGAAAAUCUGAUUCCAAAGUUCCAAACACCCACCAAAUGAUUCCGGAUAAAGUUUAAACUCAAAAACCCAACAGAAACAAAAGCAUUGGUGUGAAUUAACUGUAUCUAAUUGAAGAAACUAAAACAAAAGUAAAGCAAAGUACAUACCUCAAAAUGUCAAGCAACUAAGUUCUUCCUCCGACGACCCAAAAUUCUGAAAAUUCCACACAAAAAAAGAGUAAGCCCAUUAGCAAUUCAUAGCUUUCAAAAUUAGCAAAAACUUGGGCAACAAUAAAGACGCGUUGAGAACCAUCACUCUUUCUCCUUAUAUAUUUGAAAAGAUAUUUUAUAAGCAGUUUAUGUAGUCAUUCAGAUCAUGUUGCAUAUAAAUUCCUUUUCUACAGAGUUCAUAAAAGUAUGGCAGUUUAUGGUAUCUGUUGAAUGACAUGGUUGAAAGAUUUCAAAUUGAUAUAUUCAAUUUAUGUGUAAAACUAUAACAUAUAGCUAAAGCUAUUGGGUCUAUAUAUCCAUAUCAAUCAUGUCGUAAUUGAAUGUUUAUCAAUGUAAAUAGAUGAUUUCAGUCAUGUGAUAACAUGUUUCUUGAUAGUAUACGCUGAAGAUUGGUCUAAGUGGGAUAUGAAUCGACCAAAAUCUUAAGAAGAGACUCUUUUAACUUUUAACCAAAAAUGAACACCACAGUACUACACUAAGUUUUAUCAUGCAUAAAAUACACAACACUGAUUGCCACUUUUAGAAAACAACAAAACACUCAAAACCCAGAAACAGAAACACACUUUAGGACUCAAACUCCCCAAAAACAUAUGAGAGAGAUAGAGAGAUAGAGAGAGAGAGAGAGAGAGAGAGAGAGAGAGAGAAUAAAAACAAUAUUAUUUUUCACACAAACUCAAAAUUGCUUAUAAAAUUACAAAUCAAAACAAAUGAAAGCAAAUCCAAAAUUGCCCUAAAUUAAAUCUGAUUAGUUAAAUGUUUGUUGCCCUACAAAUGUCAUUACACCCGACAAAACUUGCUUUGAAGUUGAUAUUUUGGUCAAUCCGGGGGAAAAUGAGCUAUUGCUUUUGGAGCAGUUGUCAUGGAGAUUACCAUCUCCCUGUUGAAUGAUCUAAAAAAGGACUUACAGCUUCUGGUGGCCAUAAUAAUUUAGGAGGUCCUUCGCUCCAGAUUUUCUCAAUAACUUUCCUUUUCGUGGCUGGUAGGAUUGCAACUCCAAGAAUUGCUCUGAAGAGAUAUAUGCAAACAAAAUCAAACUAAAACUAAGCUGUUGGAAGAAAUUUAGAAAACACAAACACCACAACUCAGAGUUAAAGUCAACAGAAACCAAAUGGUAGAAGUUGAAAAAAAUAUAUGGUGAUGAAUCGAGAACUUCAUUAAACUAACAGCAAUAAAAUCUCAUAUAAUCUGUCAAAAACCAAAAAAGAGAGAGGUAAUUUCAAAACCUUGUAACGCUGAGGCGUCGUACAGUUGUAGUAAUAAUAUAUGGUUGAUGCACCUGUUGCUCAAUCAAAUCCUCUGUCUGGCUAAAAAAAUAAAAAUCUAUAAAUACAUUCACGUCCAAUUUAUGAGAAAUCAUGGGAAAGUAAAUGCACUGAUAACGGAAUUAUGAAUAUGAACUUGCCAAAAAGAAAAAGAAAACUUCUUAUAGUGUGCCAAGAACAUCCUCCUACUCCUAGCAAUUUUUAAUGGCAUUGUCCACUUCUCAAUUCAUAAUUCAACCAAUAACUCAAAGUCUAUAGUGUUUGAAAAAGUGAUAUCUUAGUUGAUCACGAUGAUAAUUAAGCAGAUUAAAUGAUGACCCAUAAAGCAUACAAAUUCAGAAAAGAAAAGGUUCAAAACUGUCAUGAGAAAAUACAGAAUAUAUAAACAGGAAAUCAAAAAAAGAGAAGUGAAAAAGGAAGAAACAACCAAACAAAAUUAUUAGGUUUGGGAUAUACCUUUAUCUGAAACGCCACAAUCAUCAAAGUCAAACUUAAACAACAACAACAACAACAACAACAACAAAGCCUUUUCCCACUAAGUGGGAAAGUCAAACUUAAACAAUCCAAAAAUUUGUGGAAAAUACCAAUAAAUGCUCAACUAAAAACGAAAGAAACGUAGAAUAAGUUUACCUGUUCUGCCCCUAAUUAAACUGGAAUACAAUUCACCACUAAUAUUCCUUGGUGUAUGCUUUUCGCAGACGAUAUAGUGUUGAUAGAUGAAACUCAGGAAGGGGUAAAUGCAAAGCUUAACCUUUGGAGAGAAGUGUUGGAAUCUAAAGGUCUUCGCCUAAGCCGAUCAAAGACAGAAUAUAUGGAGUGCAAGUUCAGUGCAAAUGGAGGCCAAAACGAGUUAGGGGUGAGGAUCGGAGAUCAAGAAAUACUAAAGAGCGACCGUUUUCGUUACCUAGGAUCUAUCUUGCAAAAGAACGGAGAAUUAGAUGGAGAUCUCAACCAUAGAAUACAAGCUGGAUGGAUGAAGUGGAAGAGUGCAUCCGGCGUGUUAUGUGACCGCCGUAUGCCACUGAAGCUCAAGGGAAAAUUUUAUAAGGACGGCAAUAAGGCCGGCGAUGCUGUAUGGCACAGAAUGUUGGGCGGUGAAACAUCAAACACGUACACAAAAUGGGUGUAGCGGAGAUGAGGAUGCUUCGUUGGAUGUGUGGGCACACGAGAAAGGAUAAGAUUAGGAAUGAGGAUAUCCGGGGUAAAGUAGGAGUAGCCGAAAUUGAAGGAAAGAUGAGAGAAAAUCGGUUACGGUGGUUUGGACAUGUGCAAAGAAAGGCCUACUGACGCUCCGAUUAGAAGAUGCGACUAUGGGACAGAGGUUCAGGGCCGAAGGGGUAGAGGAAGACCUAGGAAAACUUUGGAAGAGACUCUAAGAAAAGACUUAGAGUACUUGGAUCUAACGAAGGACAUGACACAGGAUCGAGCACAAUGGCGUUCUAAGAUUCAUAUAGCCGAUCCCACUCAGUGACUUGGAUUUUCCAAGUCUCCAACCGAGAAGUUUUCCUCACUCGGAAAAUUAAGGGAACACUACCCCAACCUACAUGCUCCACUCAGAAAGCUUCAACAUACAAGCUUCAACAAAAGAAAAUUCAAAGAACUUAGCGAAGAAGGCUUUGGUGUAUUAACACAAUACGUUGAAAUGAAGGAAAGCUUAUUUAUUGAUAUCCCCGAUAAGCUACAAAUAUGUACAUAUACAUGAGUCAAAAUAAACACACAAGAGGGAGCCUUCACAAAGGUUGCUUAGGAGAAGUCUCAGCAGUCGGUAGAGCCCCAGAAAGAGAAGGCACCGGAGGGGGAUCAUUUGGAGCCUCAGUACUGGACAGAACCCUAGAAGGAGGAGGCAUCAGAGGUUGAUCAUUUGGAGCUUCAUUACGCGGUACAGCCCCAGAAGACGAAGGCAAUAAAUGCCUUUGGAACAAACCCACAAAUCUCUGAUGAUCAAGUAAAACCUGACCAUCAGUUUCCUUCAUCUGGUCAAGCUUCCUCUUCAUGUUUGUAGCAUAGUCAUGUGCGAGCCGGUGCAACUGUUUAUUCUCAUGCUUGAGCCCUCUAAUCUCCUGUUUGAGACUCAUCACUUCAGCCGCCAAUGAUUCAACUUGGCGGGUUCGAGCAAAUAGGCGUUGGGCCAUAUUAGACACAGAACCUGCACACUGAACACUGAGAGCCAGCGAAUCCUUAACAGCUAACUCAUCAGACCGUUUGGAAAGUAGUCUGUUAUCUUUGGGAGUGAGAAGGUUCCUGGCCACCACCGCAGCGGUCAUAUCAUUCUUCAUCACGGAAUCCCCAACGGUAAGAGGACCAGUAGGGGAGACGAAGGAUGGGCGCCAUAUGUUGUCUGGAGAAGGCGGGGCUGCCUCUUCAACAAGGUUCAAGUCAAAACGACGGUCGGAGGGGCCAGACAUUUUCAAAGGUGUUGAAGAGAGAAGAGGUCGGACAAAUCAAGAUCUUAGAAGUGCAAGAAUGAAGCUUCUACUGGUGGAGAUUCAAGUGUGCUUUGGAACUUAAUGCCAGCCCCUAUAAAAAUCUGCACUCGACGGAGCUUCAGAAAAUCGAAGAGGCGCCUGCUCAGAAAUCGAAGAGGCGUUUGCUUUCUCAAAAGCUGGGCUGCUUAGAGAUCACGAGGGUUGAUCUCAGAAAUCGAAGAGGCGUUUGCUUUCUCAAAAGUUGGGCUGCUCAAAGACCACGAAGGCCGAUCUCAGAAAAUCGAAGAGGCGCUCGCUUUCUCAAAAGCUGGGCUCCCCAGAGACCACGAGGGCCGAUCUCAGAAAUCGAAGAGGCACCUACUUUUCCAGCCUUGUCAGCACCUGUCACACGCACACUCAGCUUUGCGGAAAUUAUGGGCAUUCUGUCGAAGACUUCUGGGGAAGUAGAAAACACAUGAAUCUUACUGUUCAAUCACCCACUUCCCACACGCAACAAUAGCUCAUGGGUACCACAGAUAACUUUGCCAAAGUUCUCUGCCAAAGUUGAGCACGUGAAGCUUGCAGCUCCCACUACAUCGCUCUGACCAAGAAGGGUAAAAGAAUAGCAAAGAAACAGCACUAACAAAGUUUAGACCCAUAAAUUUUGAAGGUCUAGCUACCAUAUUAUUACCCACAAGGGUAAAGGAACAGUACCACUGCUGGAUAAUUGGAAAGUCCCUGUGUGUCAACCUCUGUGCUUCGUGGCAAGGUAGACUAGCAAACAUGCCCAACCUUUACUCACAUUCGAGAAAACACUCCCAAUAAGAUUGCUUGCUCCAAAAUCGAAGAGGCACCGUCCUCCGAAUCUCGAGAGCCAGACUCCCAACAUGACUACUUUCUUAAAAAUCGAAGAGAGGGUAAAGGAACAGUACCAUUGCUGGAUAAUUGGAAAGUCCCUGUGUGUCAACCUCUGUGCUUCGUGGCAAGGUAGACUAGCAAACAUGCCCAACCUUUACUCACAUUCGAGAAAACACUCCCAACAAGAUUGCUUGCUCCAAAAUCGAAGAGGCACCCGCCCUCCGAAUCUCGAGAGCCAGACUCCCAACAUGAUUACUUUCUCAAAAAUCGAAGAGACACUGCUCCCCGAAUCUUCGAGAGCCAGACCCCCAGCAUGAUUGCUUUCUCAAAAAUCGAUGAGGCAUCGUUCUCCGAAUCAAUCGAAGAGGCGCUCGCUUUCUCAAAAGCUGGGCUGCUCAGAGACCACGAGGGCCGAUCUCAGAAAUCGAAGAGGCACCUACUUUUCUAGCCUUGUCAGCACCUGUCACACGCACACUCAGCUUUGCAGAAAUUAUGGGCAUUCUGUCGAAGACUUCUGGUGAAGUAGAAAGCACAUGAAUCUUACUGUUCAAUCACCCACUUCCCACACGCAACAAUAGCUCAUGGGUACCACAGAUAACUUUGCCAAAGUUCUCUGCCAAAGUUGAGCACGUGAAGCUUGCAGCUCCCACUACAUCGCUCUGACCAAGAAAGGUAAAAGAAUAGCAAAGAAACAGCACUAACAAAGUUUAGACACAUAAAUUUUUGAAGGUCUAGCUACCAUAUUAUUACCCACAAGGGUAAAGGAACAGUACCACUGCUGGAUAAUUGGAAAGUCCCUGUGUGUCAACCUCUGUGCUUCGUGGCAAGGUAGACUAGCAAACAUGCCCAACCUUUACUCACAUUCGAGAAAACACUCCCAACAAGAUUGCUUGCUCCAAAAUCGAAGAGGCACCGUCCUCCGAAUCUCGAGAGCCAGACUCCCAACAUGACUACUUUCUCAAAAUCGAAGAGAGGGUAAAGGAACAGUACCAUUGCUGGAUAAUUGGAAAGUCCCUGUGUGUCAACCUUUGUGCUUCGUGGCAAGGUAGACUAGCAAACAUGCCCAACCUUUACUCACAUUCGAGACAACACUCCCAACAAGAUUGCUUGCUCCAAAAUCGAAGAGGCACCCGCCCUCCGAAUCUCGAGAGCCAGACUCCCAACAUGAUUACUUUCCUCAAAAAUCGAAGAGACACUGCUCUCCGAAUCUCGAGAGCCAGACCCCCAGCAUGAUUGCUUUCUCAAAAAUCGAAGAGGCAUCGUUCUCCGAAUCUCGAGAGCCAGAUACCACAGACCACUUUUUCAAAGUGCUCUGACAGAGUUAAAACAUGUGAAACUGGCAGCUCCCACUACCGUGCUAUGACCAAGCAGGGUAAAGGAAUAGCAUUACUACUUGUUGUUAGGGAGACUCCUAUAUAUGUCGACCUCCAUCCCCAACGGACAGGCAGACCUGCAAAAAUGCUCAACCCUUCAUCAUAUCUGAGAGGGCACUCCCAACGAAGCCUUUCGAAAUAUUCAGCUUUCUUUCCCCCCGAUAAUACCUCUGCAAACAAGCUAUACUACUAGAGCAAGAAUAUCUCAUAUCAUCAGGGUUAAAAGCAAGAGUAUCCCAUAUCAUGCUUUUUCCCUGUCUUUUCCUUUGGCCUUGUUUUUUACCUGCAAGACAAGGAGAAAGAGAGAGCAAUCAGUCAGCACUUGGAAUCAAGCUUCCAGCCAGGAACUGACUGCCUGGAACCCCUUACCUGAUUACUUACCUGGCAUUGCUCUCGAGUACUCAUCUUCAACAUCUUAUGUUUCCAGGGAAGAUUCCGCAUCUGCUUGAGGAACAGAUAGGGCAAGUGCGAAGGAUACAAGGAAGCAUGUGGAGACAAGCGUAACAGCACACGUGCCGAUACAUCCAUUACUCUGUCAAAAGCAAAAGUAUCCCAUAUCAGCAGGGUGGAACGUACUCUAGAUUUGAUGGACUUGUUUUGACCCUCAAAUUCUUCAGUCGGCCUUAUACUCUGGAGGAAACCAGAAAACCCUCCAGCUCAGUUCAAGAAUAAGCCUGUGGAAAGUUACUUCUUCAAAAGCAAAAGUAUCUCUCAUAUCAUCUCUUCUCAUUUUUUCUUCUCUUUAUCCUUCAUGCUGCUGCAAGAUGGGGAGAAGGUGAACAAUCAGUCGGAGCUCUGAUUGCUUACCUUGUCUGUCACCUCUUUCAGCAGACCCCCUAGCUCGGCGACUUGGGGGACUCCUACUACAUGGUUUGUAUCGCGCUUGACCAAGCCUGAAACUACAAGUAAGCUUCAAGUGAAAUUGAUACAUUACCUUGUGCAUCUCCACCAGUUAAAGAUACCACCCCUGGAUGGAGGAAGAGUACUUCCAGAGAAGAUGCCACAUCUACCUAUGAGACAGAUAAGGCAAGUCAAGACGACACCACACUCCGAUACUUAGAAGUUUCGUGAUUACGAGAUCAUUCUCCCACAAUAUUUCCUAAUGUCAUUUGUACUAAAUCAUUCACUUGUACUCACUAAAGGAGAGCUUGAACCUAUGUACUUGUGUAAACCCUUCACAAUUAAUGAGAACUCUUCUAUUCCGUGGACGUAGCCAAUCUGGGUGAACCACGUACAUCUUGUGUUUGCUUUCCUAUCUCUAUCCAUUUAUAUACUUAUCCACACUAAUGACCGGAGCAAUCUAGCGAAGAUCACAAAAAAGCGACCGUUUUCGCUACCUAGGAUCUAUCUUGCAAGAGAACGGAGAAUUAGAUGGAGAUCUCAACCAUAGAAUACGAGCUGGAUGGAUGAAGUGUAAGAAUGCAUCCGGCGUGUUGUGUGACCGUCGUAGGCCACUGAAGCUCAAGGGAAAAUUUUAUAGGACGGCAAUAAGGCCAGCGAUGUUGUAUGGCACAGAAGAAUGUUGGGUGGUGAAGCAUCAACACGUACACAAAAUGGGUGUAGCGGAGAUGAGGAUGCUUCGUGGGAUGUGUGGGCACACGAGAAAGGAUAAGAUUGGGAAUGAGGAUAUCCGAGGUAAAGUAGGAGUAGCCGAAAUUGUAGGAAAGAUGAGAGAAAAUCGGCUCCGGUGAUUUGGACAUGUGCAAAGAAGGCUGAAUGACGCUCCGGUUCGAAGAUGUGACUACGGGACAGAGGUUCAGGGUUGAAGGGGUAGAGGAAGACCUAGGAAAACUUUGGAAGAGACUAUAAGAAAAGACUUAGAGUACUUGGAUCUAACGGAGGACAUGACACAAAACCGAGCGCAAUGGCGUUCUAGGAUUCAUAUAGCCGACCCCACUUAGUGGGAAAAGGCUUUGUUGUUGUUGUUGUUGUAUUCAAUGAAGAUGCUUAAAGGAGACAGUAAUAUUAGCAAUGAAGGAAUUUAAUUGAUAACUAAAACUGCAAAACAAAAUGACUACAAUAGGUUCAAAACAGAAACUCGUCCGAUAGAUAUCUCAUCUUUAGGCAAUGCCUUGUUCCCUUUUUUUUUUUUUUUUUUUUUUUUUUUUUUUGUUGCAUGUCUUGUGAACUUCAUGUAAAUCAACAAAAUUGAUACCUUAACCAACAAUGGAGAGGUAAAAAGUUAAAAACAGAAGGAAUGUCUUCAGUUUUGUAAUGGAUUUUGCAAGUCAAAUUCUGUUCGAGAAUUUGCAACCCAGAAAGUCCCAGCAAUUAUUAACAAUCACAGAUAAGCACCGAAUGAAGGCCAAUCUAAUAAGCCAAAAUAUGUAGGGCACUAAAGAAAUUAUUGCCCAGUAACAAUGAUAGAUAAGCACAUGUGAAACUAAAGAAAAUUUUCAUUACUAUCAACUCCAAAAAAAAUUACCUAUGCAAUCCAAAAAAUGUUGAUACAGAGUUGGAGUAUCGAUGCCUGAAAUUGGUAUUUGAACCACCAACUACCUCCGUGAAUAUGCUUGUCACUUAAUGGUUUGGGUUGAAGUUGUGAAAGGAAAUGUAAUUUCUUAAA
Molecule: long non-coding RNA, 38246 nt
Filed under: Malus domestica (apple)
Lineage: Eukaryota; Viridiplantae; Streptophyta; Magnoliopsida; Rosales; Rosaceae
Description: long non-coding RNA (MDOM_LNC001354)
Source: RNAcentral